GGCUGUCGUCAGCUCGUGUCGUGAGAUGUUCGGUUAAGUCCGCUAACGAGCGCAACCUCGUCGUAUGUUAUAUGUGUCAUACGAGACUGCCGGUAAAAAAGCCGGAGGAAGGUGAGGAUGAUGUCAAGUCAGCAUGACCUUUAUAUCCAGGGCUACACACACGCUACAAUGGUCUGUACAAUGGGUAGCCAAGCCGCGAGGCGGAGCCAAUCCUGAAAGCAGGCCUCAGUUCAGAUUGCAGUCUGCAACUCGACUGCAUGAAGCCGGAGUUGCUAGUAACCGCAGGUCAGCAAUACUGCGGUGAAUACGUUCCCGGGUCUU
This 321-nucleotide ribosomal RNA is filed under the name uncultured Anaerolineaceae bacterium. RNAcentral's name for it is "bacterial SSU rRNA". It matches the Rfam family "Bacterial small subunit ribosomal RNA", at positions 1047 to 1382 of the family's 1533-position model. The record is from RNAcentral. Lineage: Bacteria; Bacillati; Chloroflexota; Anaerolineae; Anaerolineales; Anaerolineaceae.